GACGAACGCUGGCGGCGUGCUUAACACAUGCAAGUCGAACGGAAAGGCCUGCUUUCCCUUGUGGAUUGCGGGUACUCGAGUGGCGAACGGGUGAGUAACACGUGAGUGAUCUGCCCCCAACUUGGGUAUAAGCCUGGGAAACUGGGUCUAAUUCCCGAUAGGACUGUAGGGUGGUGCCUGUGGUGGAAAACGAUUUUCUAGUGGUUGGGGAUGAGCUCGCGGCCUAUCAGCUUGUUGGUGGGGUAAUGGCCUACCAAGGCGGCGACGGGUAGCCGGCCUGAGAGGGUGGGCGGCCACAUUGGGACUGAGAUACGGCCCAGACUCCUACGGGAGGCAGCAGUGGGGAAUAAUGCACAAGGGGCGGAAGCCUGAUGCAGCGACGCCGCGUGGGGGAUGACGGGCUGCGGGUUGUAAACUCCUUUCGACCGCGAGGAAGCCACCUGGUUGGAAGGGUGGUGACGGUAGUGGUAGAAGAAGCACCGGCUAACUACGUG
RNAcentral lists this ribosomal RNA (494 nucleotides) under uncultured bacterium. RNAcentral's name for it is "partial 16S ribosomal RNA". It matches the Rfam family "Bacterial small subunit ribosomal RNA", at positions 28 to 507 of the family's 1533-position model. The record is from RNAcentral.